This 77-nucleotide transfer RNA is filed under the name Campylobacteraceae bacterium. Its description in RNAcentral is "tRNA-Arg". It matches the Rfam family "tRNA". From Rfam's summary of the family: Transfer RNA (tRNA) molecules are approximately 80 nucleotides in length. Lineage: Bacteria; Pseudomonadati; Campylobacterota; Epsilonproteobacteria; Campylobacterales; Campylobacteraceae. The record is from RNAcentral.
GUCCUCAUAGCUCAGCUGGAUAGAGCACAGGAUUCCUAAUCCUGAGGCCGCAGGUUCGACUCCUGCUGGGGACACCA